GAUGAACGCUGGCGGCGUGCCUAAUACAUGCAAGUCGAGCGAACGGACGAGAAGCUUGCUUCUCUGAUGUUAGCGGCGGACGGGUGAGUAACACGUGGAUAACCUACCUAUAAGACUGGGAUAACUUCGGGAAACCGGAGCUAAUACCGGAUGAUAUUUUGAACCGCAUGGUUCAAAAGUGAAAGACGGUCUUGCUGUCACUUAUAGAUGGAUCCGCGCUGCAUUAGCUAGUUGGUAAGGUAACGGCUUACCAAGGCAACGAUGCAUAGCCGACCUGAGAGGGUGAUCGGCCACACUGGAACUGAGACACGGUCCAGACUCCUACGGGAGGCAGCAGUAGGGAAUCUUCCGCAAUGGGCGAAAGCCUGACGGAGCAACGCCGCGUGAGUGAUGAAGGUCUUCGGAUCGUAAAACUCUGUUAUUAGGGAAGAACAUAUGUGUAAGUAACUGUGCACACCUUGACGGUACCUAAUCAGAAAGCCACGGCUAACUACGUG
This 497-nucleotide ribosomal RNA is filed under the name uncultured bacterium. RNAcentral's name for it is "partial 16S ribosomal RNA". It matches the Rfam family "Bacterial small subunit ribosomal RNA", at positions 28 to 507 of the family's 1533-position model. The record is from RNAcentral.